UGGACACUAGAGAGAAUGCAGCUUUAACACAUGAAGCAUUGCCGCCUGUUGUUUAGCUUUACACAGAAGAGGCAGCUCGCGAGCAGAUCCUCGGCAGGAAACACGUUUUUAAAGUUGAGUGUUCGCGCUGAAAGUUAAAACCUCCCUACCUCUUUACACACACGGGUGUAGUGUUUGAGUUUCCGCACACAUCUGUCAUCGUUAAAUAAGUCAAAUUAAAGUAACGCCCGCCCUCUUGUCGCCCCCCACAGAACAGCAGUCACUCUCCGGGGCCGAUGAAGGGCCCCACCGUCGCGGCCCGGCUCAAAUACCUCCAGCAAGGCAGCCUGGAGAGGCCCAAAGCCCGCAAGCAGAAAGAGGAUUUCCCCAAAGUCCAGGGCCAGCAGCAGUGCUGAGAUUUGUUUCGUGCUCCAGCAGUAAACGCUGCUCAUGCUUUCUGGCCGAUCACCAUCAGUUCCUCUGACGUUUCCCUCCGCUGCUUCUUCUCCGUGAGCAGAUCUGCCUCUUUGCUUUCUUUCAUUCUCUGUCUGCUUCUCAGGUCUCAGCUGGACUAAUAACGUGAGGAUCAGCCUCGGAUCAGUCUGCUUCUGGACUCGUACUCUAGUUCAGACCUUGAAAGUGUGAGAUUUUGUCAUUUGAAUAAAUUUGUCCGACUUGAUGAGCUCAGAGGGAGACAGAGAGGAUGAUAGCACAUUAAUAAUUAGAUGAAGUGAUCACAUCUCUCCCUCAUCGGACUGCAUUAGACACGUCGGAUAAAGAUUUAGACAUUUGGAGGUAAUUGCAUCGGCUCUAAACCUGCAGUCUGAAUCCAGCGGGGGGAACAAUCUGAACACAAUAUCUGUGUCCCAAUUACUCACUACCCACCGAGCAGAGUGUGUCCACGACACUCAGAGAAGCCAGUCUCCAAAAUAGUUUGUCAACAGUCGGUACGGACACAUGUUUAGUACUGCUCUUCCAUGAAGUUUGGGGACGGAUUGAAGUAAGAAUUUAGUCAAAAUUCGAUCAACAAAUACCCCAAAAUCUUAGUCGCUAAUGUUGGUCAAACUCCAAACAACCGGGAUCCUACAUUUCCCAUAAUGCACCUUGAUAGCGUGUUACAAUCAAGCGACCAGUAUGUUUCUUCAGAACUGCUUGUUCUCCUCAUUCCUCCGUCGGAUUAAAGGAUUAAAUAGAUUUAAACUUCUCUCUCCAUGUGAACAAACACUAUGAAUGUCUUCCAGGAGAAACGGUCUGAAAAUGUCUGAAAAUGUGCUCCAUUAUAUCUGAUUUUAAGCGACUUCACGCCUCCUCGCACUCUGUAACGGCUUUUGACUUGUUCGGAUCCGGUGUAAACGCGUUUAAUACCCGACGUCGUACAAAAACAAACAAAUAAAAUCCAGGAAGUCCAGUUUGAGUAACGGAUCCAUGAGUGUGAAGGUUCAUCAGUCGCUAAAACACAAAACUCUGUCGCUGUGGUGACUUUUCAUCGAUGCCGUUCCUGCUGUAAAGUAAUCUACCGGGAUGUUUGUGAUUGGCUUGUUGACGGAUCACGUUGUGAUGAAAGUUGAGGCAGGUUCGACUUUCUUGAUACGCCAAGUAGACUGAUCUUCAUGUGCAGAUGAGUUGGAGUUUCCCUUUAAAGGGCCGGUGUGCAGCGUUUAGGUGGAUCUAUUAGCAAAAACAUAUUAUUAAGUAUGUUUUCAUUGGUGUUUAUUCACCUGAAACUAAGAAUCAACGUGUUUUCGUGACAUUAGAAUGAGUCGUUUAUAUCUUCUUCACAGAGUCCGCCAUGUUUCUACGGUGGCCCAGAGCGGGCAAACCAAACCAUGGAUCUCGAUAGGGACAUUUAGGUUUCUCUUCUUCAGAUUGACACACUGGAAAAGUUUCAGUUGGUUGCGAUCUGUAGUCUCACCACUAGAUGGCGCCAGAAUCCUGCACACUGACCCUUUAAAACUAAAUGUGGAUGUUCCGAGAGAAAAGCUCAGGAAGAUCUUGAAAAACAGAUCAAUUCGCAGUUUGAUUGACGUGUAUAAGAAAAGUACAUCAGAAAACAACCCAUACUAUUAAGAUUAGUAUAUAAUAUAAAGUAUGUAGUAUGAGGUGUGAAAUUGGGACACAGCCAGGAUUUUACUGUCACAUUUCUUUGUUCUUUGUUAACGUGACGGAUAUUUGAACUGUGUCUAAAACAACGAGACGAAGACGGACUUUGUUCUGUUUGACAUUUAGCUGGAGGAAAAUAUUAACGUCUCGCUGUGAGUGUGUACUUAUACCACAGGCAGAUGUUUCACCGUGUAGUAAAUACAUUUAUGGAAUGUAUUAGUAGACAGUUAAAGUAUAACCGGAACCACUUCACAGAUAUAUUGUAUGUAUAUUAUAAAACCAUUUUUCUUUUGAAGAAAUCGCUUUAUUAACAUGUAAAAAAGAAAAAGCAUCAUCUAUGUUUUAUAUAAUCAAGGUUUUUUUGUAUUUUUAUACUUGAAGAUGAGGAUUCAUGAGCAUGUAACACAUUUAUUCUGUAAAUUAUUAUUUUUCUGAUUUUAAACCAUUGAAACCAUGAUCACACAGCAGCGGGAGGUUCUCCAGAAGAAUACACAAGUACCACCACAUUUAUAAAAAAGCACAUAUUCCCUCUACUAUAACCAAUAGUCUCUACGUACACGGCACAGUUUAAACUCUAUCGGUGGUUUAUGAUGAAUGUGUGAUUGUUCAAACCAUUUGUGGAAGUUCAAAAAUGUAUAUAAACCCAAAUGAUAUAUUACAAAAGUUUUAUGUGGAAAUUUUUUUAGACGGGGGGGGAAAGAAAAGAUAAAGCUAAUCUAAAAAGGCAUGCAUACUGUAAACAUUCCUGGACAUCUGCACGCGGCGUCGACACAGGUCAAAUCUUCUCGUCAAUAAUUCUGUGUAUACUUGUGAGUGUAUGAUAGAGUAAACAACAACUGUACAGUAACAUAGAUUUUUCUAUUAUGUUGAAAAAUGGGUGAGCGAAGCCCCUUUUACUGUCAGAAUAAAUACAAAAAGAUGAUUAUUGUUAUUAUUAUACGUGUUGAGAAAGAUAUCGGGACGAUGUUGUAUCUCAACUGUUCCUCCAGUCUGAGAGUGAUGCUCGCUGUGUGCGGUAAGUGUUGUUUGUGAAUUGUGAAGAAGAAUGAUAAUCUACUACCGAGUCAGUAUAACUUACUAAAGACCAACUAAACAGAGCAACACACCAAGCGCAACUUUGUGUGUGGAGAGUAAAAGUUGCUGCUUCGUGUGAGAAAAAAAUCAACCAAUCACAAAAAAAAGAAGAAAACUGAACAAAGGUUUGCUGCUUUUGUAAAUUCCUGUUGUGUUUUUGUGACAAUAAAGGUGACCCUCUUAUACACGA
Long non-coding RNA from Anarrhichthys ocellatus (wolf-eel), 3343 nucleotides. RefSeq lists it as uncharacterized. The transcript has 2 exons. Lineage: Eukaryota; Metazoa; Chordata; Actinopteri; Perciformes; Anarhichadidae. The record is from RefSeq and is a predicted model, not a curated record.